This 694-nucleotide long non-coding RNA is filed under the name Setaria viridis. Its description in RNAcentral is "long non-coding RNA (SVIR_LNC000538)". Lineage: Eukaryota; Viridiplantae; Streptophyta; Magnoliopsida; Poales; Poaceae. The record is from RNAcentral.
GAUCAUAUCGUACGCCUCAUGAUUUGUUUCAAACUGCAUCUGCAAUUUGGGUUCCAUGCAAGCAAGUAUAAGGCAGCUUACUUCAAGAUUAGCAUCACAUGCUUUCUUGUAAGCAUUCUUAAUGGCAAUAGAUGCAUCAUUAGUAAGUUCUUCUAGUAAUGGGGUGUCCAGAACAUCUUCCUUUCUCUUAGCCCUGAGAACAAUUCUUAGGUUACGGAUCCAAUCCGUAUAGUUUGUCCCAUUCAGCUUGUCCUUCUCAAGGACUGAACGCAAAGUAAACGGUGUGGUGUUGCUAGGUGCCAUUUAUCUACAACAAAUAAUAAUGCAAAAUACGAAUAUGAAAGUAUCCAUGAUAGAGUAAAUCACAUUAAACUUUUAACAUAAUCUACUCCCACUAAAAUCAAUAUCCCUCUAUCGAUACUUAGUGAUUCAGGAUCCACAACUAACAAGUCUACUACUGAGCUUUAGCAUCACCACUAGCAAACAAGGUAGAUCAGUAAGCAACUUCUUGCUAAUCAUAUCACAUAUGACUCCAGUUGUUGGAUGAUAUCUCCAUGUCUCGGCGUCCAAGCUUUAUUCCCCAAGGUCCUUAACCGUUAAGAUAACCUUGUUAAGAGAACCAACCCUUAUGCGUGUAAGUAUCUAAUACGAACCCAUCUAGUUAAGGAAAACCAGUGGCACCCUAAUUUCAUAG